GUGACCUGAAACAGUGUAGGUGAUGCUGAGU
RNAcentral lists this non-coding RNA (31 nucleotides) under Homo sapiens (human). Lineage: Eukaryota; Metazoa; Chordata; Mammalia; Primates; Hominidae. The record is from RNAcentral.